AGCAGCCGCGGUAAUUCCAGCUCCAAUAGCGUAUAUUAAAGUUGUUGCAGUUAAAAAAGCUCGUAGUUGAAUUUCGGGAUCAAUACGUCGGUCGUACCUCGGUACGUACUAACGUCAUUGAUUUCUCCCUUCUGAUGAACCAUGAUGCCAUUAAUUUGGUGUUAUGGGAAAUCAGGACUGUUACUUUGAAAAAAAUUUAGAGUAGUUUAAAGCAGGCUCACGCUUGAAUACAUUAGCAUGGAAUAAUGAAAUAGGACGUUCGAUCCUAUUUUGUUGGUUUUUAGGAUCAACGUAAUGAUUAAUAGGGAUAGUUGGGGGCAUUAGUAUUCAAUUGUCAGAGGUGAAAUUCUUGGAUUUUAUUGAAGACUAACUACUGCGAAAGCAAUUUGCCAAGGAUGUUUUCAUUAAUCUAAGAACGAAAGUUAGGGGAUCGAAGACGAUCAGAUACCGUCGUAGUCUUAACCAUAAACUAUGCCGACUAGGGAUCGGAUGAUGUUAAUUAUUUAAUGACUCAUUCGGC
RNAcentral lists this ribosomal RNA (520 nucleotides) under uncultured Glomus. RNAcentral describes it as "SSU rRNA". It matches the Rfam family "Eukaryotic small subunit ribosomal RNA", at positions 569 to 1084 of the family's 1831-position model. The record is from RNAcentral. Lineage: Eukaryota; Fungi; Glomeromycota; Glomeromycetes; Glomerales; Glomeraceae.